GGGAAUCUACCCAUUUCUGCGGAAUAGCUCUGGGAAACUGGAAUUAAUACCGCAUACGCCCUACGGGGGAAAGAUUUAUCGGGGAUGGAUGAGCCCGCGUUGGAUUAGCUAGUUGGUGGGGUAAAGGCCUACCAAGGCGACGAUCCAUAGCUGGUCUGAGAGGAUGAUCAGCCACAUUGGGACUGAGACACGGCCCAAACUCCUACGGGAGGCAGCAGUGGGGAAUAUUGGACAAUGGGCGCAAGCCUGAUCCAGCCAUGCCGCGUGAGUGAUGAAGGCCUUAGGGUUGUAAAGCUCUUUCACCGGUGAAGAUAAUGACGGUAACCGGAGAAGAAGCCCCGGCUAACUUCGUGCCAGCAGCCGCGGUAAUACGAAGGGGGCUAGCGUUGUUCGGAAUUACUGGGCGUAAAGCGCACGUAGGCGGAUAUUUAAGUCAGGGGUGAAAUCCCAGAGCUCAACUCUGGAACUGCCUUUGAUACUGGGUAUCUUGAGUAUGGAAGAGGUGAGUGGAAUUGCGAGU
This 520-nucleotide ribosomal RNA is filed under the name uncultured bacterium. RNAcentral's name for it is "bacterial SSU rRNA". It matches the Rfam family "Bacterial small subunit ribosomal RNA", at positions 120 to 674 of the family's 1533-position model. The record is from RNAcentral.